CAGUCGCCACGGUAAUACGAAGGGUGCAAGCGUUAAUCGGAAUUACUGGGCGUAAAGCGUGCGUAGGCGGUGAGUUAAGUCUGCUGUGAAAUCCCCGGGCUCAACCUGGGAAUGGCAGUGGAUACUGGCUCGCUAGAGUGUGUCAGAGGAUGGUGGAAUUCCCGGUGUAGCGGUGAAAUGCGUAGAGAUCGGGAGGAACAUCAGUGGCGAAGGCGGCCAUCUGGGACAACACUGACGCUGAGGCACGAAAGCGUGGGGAGCAAACAGGAUUAGAGACCCCCGUAGUCCCUGUCUCUUAUAC
Molecule: ribosomal RNA, 301 nt
Filed under: uncultured bacterium
Lineage: Bacteria
Description: partial 16S ribosomal RNA
Rfam family: Bacterial small subunit ribosomal RNA
Source: RNAcentral